RNAcentral lists this ribosomal RNA (490 nucleotides) under uncultured bacterium. RNAcentral describes it as "partial 16S ribosomal RNA". It matches the Rfam family "Bacterial small subunit ribosomal RNA", at positions 30 to 507 of the family's 1533-position model. The record is from RNAcentral.
AUUGAACGCUGGCGGCAGGCCUAACACAUGCCAGUCGAACGGUAACAGGAAGAAGCUUGCUUCUUUGCUGACGAGUGGCGGACGGGUGAGUAAUGUCUGGGAAACUGCCUGAUGGAGGGGGAUAACUACUGGAAACGGUAGCUAAUACCGCAUAACGUCGCAAGACCAAAGAGGGGGACCUUCGGGCCUCUUGCCAUCGGAUGUGCCCAGAUGGGAUUAGCUAGUAGGUGGGGUAACGGCUCACCUAGGCAACGAUCCCUAGCUGGUCUGAGAGGAUGACCAGCCACACUGGAACCGAGACACGGUCCAGACUCCUACGGGAGGCAGCAGUGGGGAAUAUUGCACAAUGGGCGCAAGCCUGAUGCAGCCAUGCCGCGUGUAUGAAGAAGGCCUUCGGGUUGUAAAGUACUUUCAGCGGGGAGGAAGGGAGUAAAGUUAAUACCUUUGCUCAUUGACGUUACCCGCAGAAGAAGCACCGGCUAACUCCGUG